GAUGAACGCUGGCGGCGUGCUUAACACAUGCAAGUCGAACGAUGAAGCCCAGCUUGCUGGGUGGUUCAGUGGCGAACGGGUGAGUAACACGUGAGAAACUUGCCCUUAGCGCUGGGAUACGCCUGGGAAACUGGGCCUAAUACCCGAUAGGAGCGUCCACCGCAUGGUGGGAGUUGGAAAGAUUGAUCGGUUUUGGAUGGACUCGCGGCCUAUCCGCUUGUUGGUGAGAUAAUGGCACACGAAGGCGACGCCGGGUAGCCGGCAUGAGAGGGUGACCGGCGACGCGGAGGCUGAGGCAGGCCCCAGACUCCGACGGCAGGCAGAGGGGGGGAAGAUGGUCCAACGAGGGCAAGCCUGAUGCAGCGACGCUGCGUUCGGGAUGCAGGCCUUCGUGGUGUAAACCUCUUUCAGUCAGGAAGAAGCGAAAGUGACGGUACCUGCAGAAGAAGCACCGGCUAACUACGUG
RNAcentral lists this ribosomal RNA (466 nucleotides) under uncultured bacterium. Its description in RNAcentral is "partial 16S ribosomal RNA". It matches the Rfam family "Bacterial small subunit ribosomal RNA", at positions 28 to 507 of the family's 1533-position model. The record is from RNAcentral.